UUGGCAACCCGCUCGGGUCCCCUUCCACACUGUGGAAGCUUUGUUCUUUCGCUCUUUGCAAUAAAUCUUGCUACUGCUCACUCUUUGGGUCCACACUGCUUUUAUGAGCUGUAACACUCACCGCGAAGAUCUGCAGCUUCACUCCUGAGCCCAGCGAGACCACGAGCCCACCGGGAGGAACAAACAACUCCAGAUGUGCUGCCUUAAGAGCUGUAACACUCACCGCAAAGGUCUGCAGCUUCACUCCUGAGCCAGCGAGACCACGAACCCACCAGAAGGAAGAAACUCCAAAAACAUCUGAACAUCAGAAGGGACAGACUCCAGACGCGCCACCUUAAGAGCUGUAACACUCACCACGAGGGUUCGCGGCUUCAUCCUUGAAGUCAGUGAGACCAAGAAUCCACCAAUUCCGGACACAUUUUGGCGACCAUGAAGGGACUUUCGCCUAUCACCAAGCGGUGAGACAAUCGCCGAGUGGUGAGACCUUUGCCAAUCGCCAAGCAAAUCGAGGCCAUCAAGCUACAGAUGGUCUUACAAAUGGAACCCCAAAUGAGUUCAACUAACAACUUCUACCGAGGACCCCUGGAUCAACCUGCUGGCACUUCCCCUGGCCUAGAGAGUUCCCCUCUGAAGGACACCACAACUGCAGGGCCCCUUCUUUGCCCCAUCCAGCAGGAAGUAGCUAGAGUGGUCAUCAGCCAAAUUGCCAACAGCAGUUGGGGUGUCCUCUUUAGAGGGGGGAUUGAGAGGUGACAGCAUGCUGGCAGUCCUCAGAGCCCUCACUUGCUCUUGGCACCUCCUCUGCCUGGGCUCCCACUUUGGCAGCAUUUGAGGAGCCCUUCAGCCCACCACUACACUGUGGGAGACCCUUUCUGGGCUGGCCAAGGCUGGAGCCCACUCCCUCAGCUUGCAGGGAGGUGUGGAGGGAGAGGUGCGAGCGGGAACCGGGGCUGCACAUGGCGCUUGUGGGCCAGCUGGAGUUCUAGGUGGGUGUGGGCUUGGAGGGCCCCGCACUCAGAGCAGCCAGCCAGCCCUGCUGGCCCCGGGCAGUGAGCGGCUUAGCACCCGGGCCAGCAGCUGCGGAGGGUGUACUGGGUCCCCCAGCAGUGCCAGCCCACCGGCGCUGCGCUCGAUUUCUCACCGAGCCUUAGCUGCCUUCCCGCGGGGCAGGGCUCAGGACCUGCAGCCCGCCAUGCCUAAGCCUUCCCCCGCCUCUGUGGGUUCCUGUGCAGCCCAAGCCUCCCCGACGAAUACCAUCCCCUGCUCCAUGGCACCCAGUCCCAUCGACCACCCAAGGGCUGAGGAGUACGAGCUCAUGGCGCGGGACUGGCAGGCAGCUCCACCUGCAGCCCCAGUGUGGGAUCCACUGGGUGAAGCCAGCUGGGCUCCUGAGUCUGGUGGGGACGUGGAGAGUCUUUAUAUCUAGCUCAGGGAUUGUAAACACACCAAUCAGCACCCUGUGUUUAGCUCAAGGUUUGUGAGUGCACCAAUCAACACUCUGUAUCUAGCUGCUCUGGUGAGGACGUGGAGUACCUUUAUGUCUAGCUCAAGGAUUGUAAAUACACCAAUCGGCACUCUGUAUCUAGCUCAAGGUUUGUAAAUACACCAAUCAGCACCCUGUGUUUAGCUCAAGGUUUGUGAGUGCACCAAUCGACACCGUGUAUCUAGCUGCUCUGGUGGGGCCGUGGAGAACCUUUAUGUCUAGCUCAGGGAUUGUAAAUACCCCAAUCAGCACCCUGUGUUUAGCUCAAGGUUUGUGAGUGCACCAAUCGACACUCUGUAUCUAGCUGCUCUGUUGGGGCCCUGGAGAACCUGUGUGUCGAAACUCUGUAUCUAACUAAUCUGAUGGGGACGUGGAGAACCUUUGUAUCUAGCUCAGGGAUUGUAAACACACCAAUCAGCACCCUGACAAAACAGGCCACUCGGCUCUACCAAUCAGCAGGAUGUGGGUGGGGCCAUUGUUCUUUCGCUCUUUGCAAUAAAUCUUGCUACUGCUCACUCUUUGGGUCCACGCUGCUUUUAUGAGCUGUAACACUCACCGCGAAGAUCUGCAGCUUCACUCCUGAGCCCAGCGAGACCACGAGCCCACCGGGAGGAACAAACAACUCCAGACGCGCUGCCUUAAGAGCUGUAACACUCACCAUGAAGGUCUGCAGCUUCACUCCUGAGCCAGCGAGACCAGAGACCACGAACCCACCAGAAGGAAGAAACUCCGAACACAUCUGAACAUCAGAAGGGACAGACUCCAGACGCACCACCUUAAGAGCUGUAACACUCACCGCGAGUGUCCGCAGCUUCAUUCUUGAAGUCAGUGAGACCAAGAACCCACCAAUUCCGGACACAGGAUUACUACAGUUAACAAUGAUUUAUUGUACAUUUCAAAAUAGCUAGAAGAGAAGAUUUGACAUGUUUCUAACUCAAAGAAAUGCCAAAUAUUGAGCUGAUGGAUAUCCUGAUUACCCUGAUUUGAUCAUCACACAUUGCAUGCAUGUAUUAAAAUAUCACAUGUACCUAUAAA
Molecule: long non-coding RNA, 2518 nt
Organism: Pan troglodytes (chimpanzee)
Lineage: Eukaryota; Metazoa; Chordata; Mammalia; Primates; Hominidae
Exons: 2
Source: RefSeq, a predicted model, not a curated record